UAUGGCGGCCAGGCCUGGGAAGCCUCGAGGCCGCCUGGCGCCGUGGGGUCACUCUUCCUGAUGCCACAAGUCACAAAGGCAGGAAGGGAGGCUUGGGAGCUGACAGGGGCCAACCCUAGGUCUCGCAGGUGGUCGUGGGCAAGCCCACCCGUCUGAGGGAACCGCUGCUGAGACCAAGCGAGGAGGAAGAAAAUGUCCAGGGCCUGGAGGUAGAGGGCCGGGACCCUGAGGCGAGAGAGGGCCUACGGCCCCGAUGCAGAGGAGCAGUCCCAGAUGGAUAAGGAGUUGAGGCCCCAGGGAUGCUGCGCCCUGCCGAAGUAGAAGGCACUGGCCACCAGAAUCUGAAACCUCACAUCACUCACACGAGGGGGUUUCAAAGCUGAAACCCCAGAUCAGCCGUGGGACCUGAGACACCGCAGAAGGGCGUCCAGAUGUUUGAGGAGCUAACAUGAACGGCAGCUGGCGGGCCGGCCACGGGGACCGGAGGAACCUGGCUCUUUGUUCUCGGUGUCCUCGGAGCCUCAGCAGCCAUGUCCCCGCUGCGGCUCGGGCAGCCCCGUGGCACCGCGGAGCCUCAUGGGUGCCCCUUGAUCUGACAUCUCCACGCGUCAGCCUCUUCUCGACGGGAGUUUCACCUUUGCUCUGAGGGAAAGGUUUGCUACGAACACAGGUUUGUACAAACUCGGCCUUAGGAGGUGAAGCCCGAUCUUCGCCUCCACUGGAACCUAGCUAUUUGGGAGGGUUUCUGGGCCGCGUUCUCUGCAAGCGUC
This is a long non-coding RNA of Hyaena hyaena (striped hyena), 770 nucleotides long. RefSeq lists it as uncharacterized. The transcript is spliced from 3 exons. The record is from RefSeq and is a predicted model, not a curated record. Lineage: Eukaryota; Metazoa; Chordata; Mammalia; Carnivora; Hyaenidae.